Non-coding RNA from Aedes albopictus (Asian tiger mosquito), 58 nucleotides. Lineage: Eukaryota; Metazoa; Arthropoda; Insecta; Diptera; Culicidae. The record is from Rfam.
UAGCCUAGUGGUUAAGGCUAUGGAUCGCCAAUCCGGAGGCGGCGGGCUCGAUUCCCGU